AGCACAAAAGUAAUGACGAUUAGCUCUGAUAGAUCUCACCUAUAAUAGUACACAGUCAGAAUGAUAUAUCUAUUAUUCAUGCAUCAUUUGCUUAAUUUCGACGACAUACGUGCGUCCAGUUUGCAUGAAGCGCUGUAAUUCAAGAGACAUUUAACGCCAGAGAGAGACAUUCACGAUUGUUAUUAACAUAACGUUGAAAUCCUCUCGAUUAUGUGGUAUGCGGAGGCAUGGGCGUGCUCCGAUAGCUUGCGUGUUCCGUCGUGUGGCAAUGAUAAUAAUACGACAUACAAUAAGACGUCAGCCGACGUUUUAAUGAGAGAAAAACGACGGAGCGCGGGAGCUCGUUACCGACGUACACCACCCCAUAAAGAACGGCCAGGGCGGUGAGGAAUGGGCCGACGCGUACAUAGCUUUUGGUAGAAACCGUUCGUUACCGUCCGCAAACGUGUCCGUGUGCAAAAUCACACAUGAGCUUACCAAGUAUAUUCGGCAACGUUUCGCCUUGUCGCAAUAUAAAUGCCAGACAUCGAGAGUUUUAGUGAGAAUAACGCGAUCGACGGUGCACCACUUUAACAUGAUCCGUGACGGAUCGUGCGAUAGGUGCUAACAUCGAGGUAGCCAUUCAAUAAAUAUUUACUCUGGCACGUGAAGCACGGCAAUUAAGCGACGCGUAAUGAAACCGCCAAUUUCCUAUACACUGAAACAACGUUGACAAUUAGUCCAGCUUUUAUUCGAUGGAGAAUUGUGACUCCAAGUUUUAUUACGCGUACCAUUGACGGACGCAAACGCACGACCACGCAUCAACGGGUUUCACUGAUCGUUUGUCGGCACGGGUGCAAUAAAUUCUGCUUAAUUACAUGCGAUAAGUAAUUAAAGUGAUUAAAGCUUAUAAUGUGACACGCGCGCAAUCAGUAAUGCGAGUAUAAUCAGGAUUUCGAUUCGACGAUAUCUCUGUGCCUCAACGACGGACACUUUAUAACGAUAGCUUUCCGUUUCGUGCUUUUAACGAGUAUCUAUUCUCGCGAAUAUCUACUCUCGUUCGGGUUUUAGCGUUUUUGCAACAAAUGAAAAUUUCAUGUCGAUGGAAAUUCCAUUCACUGGUAUUACUGAUAUCCACUAAUAAUUUCGUUCAUUUAUGCCAAUGCCAAUUAAUAAUUUAUUAGAUUACAUUCCGUAUUUCGCAAAAGCAUAUCGAGGGUACUGCAAGCAGUGCAAGAAAAAGAAACAAUUCCAUUCUAUUACGAAUCCAUCCGAAUUACGUAGGAUUAUGUAAAUUCCGAAAAUUUUCUGUUUCUCAUUAAUCAUAAAGAAUAAAGAAUCGAGCAUCUAAUGCUUCUACAAGUUAACGAUGCACGAAGAAGAUACUGUAGCAGGGGAUCUAUAAUAAAAUAAAAAUUGUUCAACUGUAGACAUGAGAAACUGCGAGACACGUGAGAUGCACUAUCGAACGACGACGACACGUAGACUGAAGUCUGUUCGGACAACUAACCGGCUUCGACAGCAAGACGUUUUUAUCGCAAAUUUCAACCAACUCCGACGGCGAUGUUGUCGUCGCCGUCGGCAUCGUCCUCGUCUUUUUUGUCUUCUUUGUCGUCGUCAUCAUCGUCGUUGUCGUCGUCGUCGACGUCGUUGUCGUCGUUGCCGUCGUCGUAGCAGGUAGCUAGUACGUGCGUGCAUCCACGAUGAGGGACGUGCGCUCGCUGAAUAAUGCCGAGAAUUCGGGGAAGAAGGAAAUGAAGGUUAGUCGACGGUAAGGGCGUGCGAGACGCGGCAGACGGAGUGAAAGAAGGGGGUAAGAGGCGAAUAAUAAAACGCCGAGCUAUAAAGAACGGAAAGAAAGAGAAGAAGGGAGAGGAGUCACGUGGCCGUCGAAGAAGCAGCCGGUGUCUCAAUGAAUUCCCUCGAGCAGCCUCGUUAAAACAGUUCCUUGACGAUGCUGGCACCAACACCAACAACUAUGCCGCCAUUCUCGUCUUCUUCUACUUCUUCGUCAUCUUCGUCAUCGUCGCGGUUUACGUGAUUUUAAACGAAAACGUAGAAAGUAUAUUGCAGCUGUACGCUGAUCGACCACGACUUUCAAGGAACCUUCGAAAAAUCGCGACGAUAACCAGCCGAGGUGUUACAAAUGCCGGACGUGCUGCGGUUUAACCGCCUUCUCCCCGAUACCCUCUUUCCCUCGAGUGCCGCCAAACUGCUCUCCGCCUUUCGACCGGAAUCCACCCACCUACCGCCCCUAUAUUUACCGUCGCAAUAAAUUUCAGGUCAGAUUUCAGGCGAGCGAGAGUCGAUGCGAGAGAAGGCUACGCGAAAUUCGCGUACGCGCGCCGAUUCCAUCGCUUCUUUAUUGAGAGCCAGUAAACAAGUUAAACCAGAUUAGAAGCGGGCUGCCUCGUAACUGGUGUUUUCUGCGUCUAUUCCUAACCCUCCAAUCCUAGCCCUUUCCUCGCGGCCAUUCUUCUUUUCUAUGGCCAGUGACGAGGAGGAAAGAUCGUGACGAUAGAAUCAAAGGAAGAGGAAAGGACAAACAAAAGUGCAGAGAGCCAGAGGACACUGCGUUUCAUCUUGUCGAGUGGGACUCUUAGUUUCAUUCCUUUUGCUCGAGUCUCAAGCGAGUUUCGGCCCUCGUGUAAACAACUUGGUGAACUGAGCGUAUUAUCCGGUCUGCGACGAUGGAUAUUGUCUUUACCUAUGAAUCCCAUUUCCGUUCCGGAAGCGCUUAAUCAGACUUUUCUUCACGAAACGUAUCUACAAGUGGUUUCUUCAUUUCGCGAGAUUAUCUCGUUCAUGGUAGCGCGUGUUGCGGUGUAACGCGAUUGCUUUUAAAAGUUCACCGUCUCGCAAAUCAGAGUUGAGCCAGGUUAAUAAGGAGAAUUCGCAGAAAACAGGUAGAUGUCUGAUUCAGAAUCGCAACCCGCAAUUUAUCAUAAUCAUCGCAUUUAAUUCCAAUUACACGAUAUUGCGUGGUCUUGAAAUGGUAUAUAUGGUAUUCGAAAGGCAAGUACGCGUAGUUCCAAGUCACGAAAGCAUCCGUGUCGGGAUCGAGCAAAUUAUACGCGAGGGUGAGGGCGUAGCGAGAGUUGAAAAUUUUCUAUCAGCCUUAUACGCAAACGAUUUCCCGAAUAACGUUUCUGGGAAAUUGCCCGACGCUAAACGCGCAUUACGAUUAGCAGACCAAUUUGCCGUGCGUUUCAAAAUUGCAAGAUAAAAGCAGAAACGCUCGUUCUUAUAACAAUGAGUUGUCGGCACGCAACAAUUCGCAUCGCGAAGGAUCAGCACGCGGAAUCGUCGCGUCGCGUCACGUCGCGUCGCGUUGCAAACUAUCGACCAUCGAACGCACGUCUAUCCACGUGAAUCGUUCAUAAACGUACAUUUCAUGCACUGCAUUAACAAUUAAGUCAGUUUGACAUUUUAUCCAACACUUUACGAGAUUCUUAGAGUGUCGCUUAUACAAUGUGUUGAAAGUUUUGCGUCUGAUUCGUUGCGAACCAUGUCAGCGUAGCAAUCUCGUGAGCUCACAGCUAUGAUCAAGUAUGACGUAAACGUUGAAACCCCCGUGAUUACACUAAUAGUGGUUAGGCUAUUAAACUGUAUCCCUAAGAUAAUUUAUCGCAGCAGAUAAUACGAUACGCCGAUUACGUCGAUUUCGCUGUUUAUUCCCGUUAAUUUAAAGGCUCGCGAUGCCCAAAAAGCUAGCGAUACCUUUUCCAAAGCAUCCCGCAUAUGCCCGCUCGUACAUACGCGUGUAUACAUAGACGUGCAUAUAUACGCCCGUACGAACAAUGCUUCGAUUCAGGAACGUAUAACAUCGUCGUGCCUUACGGCAACGGUCGUAUAACGUCGGUGAAUGACGGGCAUUCGAGCGAAUGGGACCAAUCAGACUGAUUGGCCGACCGGUAUUUACAUUUCUGCGGGCGAGCUUGCCGCUCGAGGCCGGUUGCGUCGGGAGACUCGGAGAGAAUGCGGGGCAGACGCGACGCCGCCGCCGGUGCAACUGUGCAAAUCCCCGUCGGUGCAUCUCGACGAUGAUGCGGGGACCAUGGAGCCCGAAUGCUUGUCGAGCGCGUUGUUCGAUUCAUAGCUGGGAGCAGCGAAUCAUUCCACGUUGUGUCCUCGUCGAUCCUCGUCUGUCUGCUUGAUAAUCGAUUAGCAUCCACUUAACGUGGAAGAAACGUAGAUAUUGCCGAAAUAUGGUAUAAAGUAUCGUUAUCUAAGGAGAAUAUAUCACGCGUAAUCCGUGAGAAUCAUCUUUAUUUUGCAAUCAGAAAUUCGACGUAUCGUGCGAAAGACGGUAUUAUCCUCCAAUUAAAAUCUUCUCCAGCAAAUGCAUUUCAACUCACACACGGGAAGAAUACAGCCGGUAAUUAUCGCACUCGGCUUUGGUCGACCAGCCGAUGCUCGACAACGCGGACACGUUUUAUCUCGUGUCGAGGUGGACAGGCCUGAGGCGAAACACGCGAGAGGAACGUUUACGAUACUCGAGGCACCGAUGUAUUCUCCGUUCUGAGAGUUAAUUGCGCCCUUGCGAGCUCACGCGAGAGGCGUCUGGGUACAUCGGCUUCUGCGAGCCUGAGGGAUGCGCGCGCGCGCACGCGCGUGUCUUCAUCGCGAUCGGCCGGUCGGCUCGAUGCCUUGAACGGGCAUCGGGUUACCGAUACUUGAGCGGAGUCACAUAAUUUCGACGAUGAUGUCGCCGGGAUACGGCCGUUCUCUCACCGAGCGGAGCUAAUUAAUAACCGCGAGUAACAAGGAGCAGAUGGAGCGGUAGAAACUCCAGAGGAACCAGACCCCUGGGCCACGCUUGGCAGGCCACGAUCAGCCUGGCUCAGCCAGCUUCGCUUGGCCCUGUUUGCUGGCUGACACCGAUACACACCCACGCACCUACCAAUUAUACCACACGCACGUGUGGUCCGGAUGGUCGCGUGCAUGCUAUUAGCGAAAAGGAGUGUCUACCUCCUUGUCUGUCCCCGGUGCGAAACAACUGUCUUUCCUUUCUACCUCGUGCUUCAUCCUCGACGCCUCGACGAUUUCGUGGUACGCCGGCUAUUCCAAACGAAGGAGAUGAAUGAAAGGCUUCCGGGGUUGAUCGCGAGCUUAGGGAUCCGAGCGAGUACUUCCGGCUUGUAGGUGAGACGCUACCAGAUGAGUGCACUGAAUAUGUAACACGUUAACGGUAAAAGUGUCAAGAUUAUCUUAAUAACGUAGCGUGUACUUUGACUAUAGAAAUAUGGACUGCCAGUAGCCAACUUCAGGUUAGUAUCCAAGAUGUGUUGCGCCGCCAUCGACCAAGUGAGGUGUUUAGGAACUAAAAUGUAUGACAUAUAGCAAUUGCUGCGGAAAGUGUUAAGUGUAGAUCAACAGUGUUAAACGUAAAAGAAAAUAUAAUAGAAGUGAGUACAAUAAACAAUGGUGGCGUAUUGUUAUGUUGAAGGGUGCAAGACAACUAAAUAUAAAAAUAAAAUAGAAAACAACAAAGCUCUACCUAUGUACGGGUUUCCCAGUAAUGUGAUGCUACGGGAAAAGUGGAUAAAUGCAGUAUUAAGUAAUCAAAUCAAUGCAGAAAAUCCACCGAAAUAUAGUAGAAUCUGCAUAAAACAUUUUGCAGAUGAUCAACUUGAACAAUUUGGCUUCAUGGGUGUCCGAUUAAAGAAGAAUGCUGUUCCAACACUAUUUCCUAAUGUUAAAUAACAACACGGGUACAAUGUAAUGUUAUAAUACUUGAUAUAUUAGAUAAUACGCGAAAUUCAUAUACAUCAAUACUGGCCUAUGCAAACGGAUAAAUAUGUAAUGUGCUCGAAACUUUAUCAGAAUAUCUAUAUUAAUGAAGAAAAUAUAUUGUUUAUAUAUGUAUAUAUAUUUAUUUUUAUAACCAAGCAGCAAUAACAUAUUAAUUGCUUAUGUAGAAAGGAAAUAUGUCAAAACGUAAAUGUGGAAAAACCUGUUCUGCAUUCUGAUGACAUUGGAAUUGAAGAAUCCAUUUCAGAACACAUUGAAGAUUCCAAUCACAUAACUGAAAAAAAAGGAGAAGCGCAAAGGGAGAAGCUUAAUUCCAAUGAAAUGGAAUCAAGUACUUGUCCCUCUGAAGAGAAUAGCGAUUGUACUUGUACCGUGGAAACAAUGCUUACAGAUAUCAAUGAAGGAAUCAACUCAACAUUCUUUUCCAGUGUAGAAAAAAAACGAGAAAGCCAUACUGAACAAAUAAUCAGAAACUGUAAAAAAAACUAUUAGAUAUCCUGGAGAUUUGAGUAAUACCGAAUUGACUAACAUGUCCACAGAGGAAUUGAUAAACAUUAUAAAAAUGUUGAAAAGGAAUUCAGCGAAAAAAGAUAAAAUUAUUAAACGUUUACGAACUCAACACUAUCGCAAGAGAAACAGAAUUCAAAGUAUGAAACAGUUAAUAGAUGAAUUAACAAAAGAAUGUAAUCUAUCCUCAAAUGCCUCCGAAGUAUUAAAGGUAAGAUAAAGUCAUUUUAUAACAUUAAUAAAAAAAGGGAAGACGGACAAGUUGAUACAUGUUGCAAAACGUUUGUGAAACUAAUGGAAAAGUAGAACAUGCUAGACCAAUAAAACCAUUAAAAUUGCAAACAUGAAGUAAAUCUGUUGAAAAUCACUCCAAGAAUUAUAGCGUAAAUAUGUAAAAAACUACGGGGAAUUGAAUUUAGGUAUGCUCCACUUUCCCUUAUCUGUUUCAUAAAACCUAAUUAAUUGGCAGUUAUGUGUGCUGACCUAUGCCUAUAGAAAUACUUCUACAGUUAAAGGUAAUGGUUAACACUUUGAUCAUGUAUUACACAGAAGAUGUUAUAUAUUAUAUGUUAUAUAUUCAGAACCAGUUAUAUAUACAGAUCAUGUAUUCACAAAAUCGUUUAUAUAUUGUAGAAAUAAAUAAAUGGUGUAUGCCAUAUGAUGAAGUUAUGUAAUAAAGAUAUUUGUAAU
Molecule: RNA transcript, 6930 nt
Organism: Ooceraea biroi (clonal raider ant)
Lineage: Eukaryota; Metazoa; Arthropoda; Insecta; Hymenoptera; Formicidae
Source: RefSeq, a predicted model, not a curated record